GAGUGGAGGUGUCUAUGUGACUGCAUUAGUCUGUAGCACAAGAGCAGAUGACCUACUCCUGGUUCUGAAGUUCUUCUGCCCUAGCAUGAGAUAACAUCUAGUUGGAGUAUUGUCUCUAUGUUGGAAGCUCGUGGAACACAGCUCAGAGCCCUCACAACAAAGGAAGGAUCUGUGACAAUGGGAACAAAGACAUCACACCCUCCAUUGGCUUCUAGCUGCCUUGCAUUUUGCCCCACCCAGCCACACGUCGUAAUUAGUCAUGGGUUAUUUGGCCAUUGCAGACGUUUUUCUUUAAGUGUGGGCCAACAUCCCUUUUGGUGAACCUAUCUGAGAGUUGUGGUUUCUUGAUUAAAUUUAUUUCUUUCGAA
RNAcentral lists this long non-coding RNA (368 nucleotides) under Rattus norvegicus (Norway rat). RNAcentral's name for it is "long non-coding RNA NONRATT020831". The record is from RNAcentral. Lineage: Eukaryota; Metazoa; Chordata; Mammalia; Rodentia; Muridae.